This 205-nucleotide unclassified non-coding RNA is filed under the name plant metagenome. RNAcentral's name for it is "partial contains small subunit ribosomal RNA, internal transcribed spacer 1, and 5.8S ribosomal RNA". The record is from RNAcentral.
GUAGGUGAACCUGCGGAAGGAUCAUUAGAGAGACUUUGCCCUUUAGGUAUAUCUCCCACCCUGAUUAUUUUACCUGGUUGCUUUGGCGAACAGACGCUAUAUGCUGAAGCUCGCCAGAGUGUACAUACUCUUGUUUCAUGUCUUCUUCUCCCCCCCCCCCUCUUUCCCCCUUUCCCCCCCUUCUCUCUUUUUUCUUUCCUCUCUU